This 301-nucleotide ribosomal RNA is filed under the name uncultured bacterium. RNAcentral describes it as "partial 16S ribosomal RNA". It matches the Rfam family "Bacterial small subunit ribosomal RNA", at positions 509 to 807 of the family's 1533-position model. The record is from RNAcentral.
CAGUAGCCGCGGUAAUACAGAGGGUGCGAGCGUUAAUCGGAUUUACUGGGCGUAAAGCGUGCGUAGGCGGCUUCUUAAGUCGGAUGUGAAAUCCCUGAGCUUAACUUAGGAAUUGCAUUCGAUACUGGGAAGCUAGAGUAUUGGAGAGGAUGGUAGAAUUCCAGGUGUAGCGGUGAAAUGCGUAGAGAUCUGGAGGAAUACCGAUGGCGAAGGCAGCCAUCUGGCCUAAUACUGACGCUGAGGUACGAAAGCAUGGGGAGCAAACAGGAUUAGAUACCCCCGUAGUCCCUGUCUCUUAUAC